This 32-nucleotide non-coding RNA is filed under the name Mus musculus (house mouse). The record is from RNAcentral. Lineage: Eukaryota; Metazoa; Chordata; Mammalia; Rodentia; Muridae.
AUGGGUAGCAUUCAUUUAAGAAGCACUUGUCG